UACAGUGAAGUGUGAUGCAGUCUUGAUGGU
RNAcentral lists this non-coding RNA (30 nucleotides) under Rattus norvegicus (Norway rat). The record is from RNAcentral. Lineage: Eukaryota; Metazoa; Chordata; Mammalia; Rodentia; Muridae.